ACCGACUCUCUUUUCGGACUCAGUCCGCCUGCACCCGGGUGAAAUAAACAGCCAUGUUGCUCACACAAAGCCUGUUUGGUGGUCUCUUCACACGGACGUGCAUGAAAUUUGGUGCCGUGACUCGGAUCGGGGGACCUCCCUUGGGAGAUCAAUCCCCUGUCCUCCUGUUCUUUGCUCCACGAGAAAGAUCCACCUACGACCUCAGGUCCUCAGACUGACCAGCCCAAGGAACAUCUCACCAAUUUUAAAUCAGGUAAGCGGCCUCUUCUUACUCUCUUCUCCAACCUCUCUCACUGUCCCUCAACCACUUUCUUCUUUCCACUCUUCAAUCUCUCCCUUCUCUUAAUUUCAAUUCCUUUCAUUUUCUGGGAGAGACAAAGGAGACAUGUUUUUAUCCGUGGACCCAAAACUCCGGCGCUGGUCACGGACUGGGAAGGCAGCCUUCCCCUGGUGUUUUAUCAUUGCAGGGACGCCUCUCUGAUUAUUCACCCACGUUUCAAAGGUGUCAGACCACGCAGGGACGCCUGCCUUGGUCCUUCACCCUUAGCAGCAAGUCCCACUUUUCUGGGAAAGGGGCAAGUACCUCAACCCCUUCUCUCCUUGUCUCUACCCCUUCUCUGCUUUUCUGGGGGAGGGGCAAGUACCCCUCAACCCCUUCUCCUUCACUCUUAGCGGCAAGUCCCGCUUUUCUAGAGGAUGGGCAAGUACCCCAACCUCGUAUCUCUGUGCCCCAAUCCCUUAUUUCCGCGCCCCAACCUCUUAUAUCUCUGUGCCCCAAUCCCUUAUUUCCAUGCUCGACCCCUUAUUUCCGUGCCCCUACCCCUUAUUUCUGUGCUUCAUCCCUUAUUUCCAUGCCCCGACCUCUUAUCUCUGCGCCCCAACCUCUUUUCCCACUUUUCUGGAAGGUAAGAACCCCCGAACCCCUUCCCUCAGUUUCUCUACUCUCUCUUUUCUCUAGGCUUGCUUCCUUCACUAUAGGCAACCUUCCACCCUUCAUUCCUCCUUCUACUCCCUUGGCCUGUGUUCUCAAAAACUUAAAACCUCUUCAACUCACACCUGACCUAAAACCUAAAUGCCUUAUUUUCUUCUGCAAUGCUGCUUGACCCCAAUACAAACUCGACAGUAGUUCCAAAUAGCCAGAAAAUGGCACUUUGAAUUUUUCCAUCCUGCAAGAUCUAAGUAAUUCUUGUCGUAAAAUAGCCAAAUGGUCUGAGGUGCCUGACGUCCAGGCAUUCUUUUACACAUCAGUCCCUUCCUAGUCUCUGUGCCCAGUGCCACUCAUCCCAAAUCUUCCUUCUUUCCCUCCCGCCUGUCCCCUCAGUACCAACCCCAAGCAUCGCUGAGUCUUUCUAAUCUUCCUUUUCUACAGAUCCAUCUGACCUCUCCCUUCCUCCCCAGGCUGCUCCUCGCCAGGCCGAGCUAGGUCCCAAUUCUUCCUCAGCCUCUGCUCCUCCACCCUAUAAUCUUUUCAUCACCUCCCCUCCUCACACCUGGUCUGGCUUACAGUUUCGUUCCAUGACUAGCCCUCCCCCUCCUGCCCAGCAAUUUACUCUUAAAAAGGUGGCUGGAGCCAAAGGCAUAGUCAACUUUAAUGCUCCUUUUUCUUUAUCCCAAAUCAGAUAGCGUUUAGGCUCUUUUUCAUCAAAUAUAAAAAUCCAGCCCAGUUCAUGACUUGUUUGGCAGCAACCCUGAGACACUUUACAGCCCUAGACCCUAAAAGGUCAAAAGGCCGUCUUAUUCUCAAAAUACAUUUUAUUACCCAAUCUGCUCCAGACAUUAAAUAAAACUCCAAAAAUUAAAUUCCGGCCCUCAAACCCCACAACAGGAUUUAAUUAACCUCGCCUUCAAGGUGUACAAUAAUAGAAAAAUGUUGCAAUUCCUUGCCUCCACUGUGAGACAAACCCCAGCCACAUCUCCAGCACACAGGAACUUCCAAAUGCCUGAACCGCAGCGGCCAGGCUCCUCCAGAACCUCCUCCCACAGGAGCUUGCUACAUGUGCCAGAAAUCUGGCCACUGGGCCAAGGAAUGCCUGCAGCCCGGGAUUCCUCCUAAGCCGUGUCCCAUCUGUGUGGGACCCCACUGAAAAUCGGACUGUUCAACUCACCUGGCAGCCACUCCCAGAGCCCCUGGAACUCUGGCCCAAGGCUGACUGACUCCUUCCCAGAUCUUCUCGGCUUAGCGGCUGAAGACUGACACUGCUUGAUCGCCUCGGAAGCCCCCUAGACCAUCACAGACGCCGAGCUUCCGGUAACUCUCACAGUGGAAGGUAAGCCCGUCCCCUUCUUAAUCAAUACGGAGGCUACCCACUCCACAUUACCUUCUUUUCAAGGGCCUGUUUCCCUUGCCUCCAUAACUGUUGUGGGUAUUGACGGCCAGGCUUCUAAACCUCUUAAAACUCCCCAACUCUGGUGCCAACUUAGACAAUACUCUUUUAAGCACUCCUUUUUAGUUAUCCCCACCUGCCCAGUUCCCUUAUUAGGCUGAGACACUUUAACUAAAUUGUCUGCUUCCCUGACUAUUCCUGGACUACAGCUAUAUCUCAUUGCCGCCCUUCUUCCCAAUCCAAAGCCUCCUUUGCGUCCUCCUCUUGUAUCCCCCCACCUUAACCCACAAGUAUAAGAUACCUCUACUCCCUCCUUGGCGACCAAUCAUGCACCCGUUACCAUCUCAUUAAAACCUAAUCACCCUUACCCCACUCAACGCCAAUAUCCCAUCCCGCAGCAUGCUUUAAAAAGAUUAAAGCCUGUUAUCACUUGCCUGCUACAGCAUGGCCUUUUAAAGCCUAUAAACUCUCCUUACAAUUCCCCCAUUUUACCUGUCCUAAAACCGGACGAGCCUUACAAGUUAGUUCAGGAUCUGCGCCUUAUCAACCAAAUUGUUUUGCCUAUCCACCCCGUAGUGCCAAACCCAUAUACUCUCCUAUCCUCAGUACCUGCCUCUAUAACCUAUUAUUCUGUUCUAGAUCUCAAACAUGCUUUCUUUACUAUUCCUUUGCACCCUUAAUCCCAGCCUCUCUUCACUUUCACUUGGACUGACCCUGACACCCAUCAAGCUCAGCAAGUUACCUAGGCUGUACUGCCGCAAAGCUUCACAGACAGCCCCUAUUACUUCAAUCAAGCCCAAAUUUCUUCCUCAUCUGUUACCUAUCUCAGCAUAAUUCUCAUAAAAACACACGUGCUCUCCCUGCCAAUCAUGUCCGACUAAUCUCUCAAACCCAAGCACCUUCUACAAAACAACAACUCCUUUCCUUCCUAGGCAUGGUUAGCGUGGUCAGAAUUCUUACACAAGAGCCAGGACCGCACCCUGUAGCCUUUCUGUCCAAACAACUUGACCUUACUGUUUUAGCCUAGCCCUCAUGUCUGCGUGCAGCGGCUCCCGCUGCUUUAAUACUUUUAGAGGCCCUCAAAAUCACAAACUAUGCUCAACUCACUCUCUACAGUUCUCAUAACUUCCAAAAUCUAUUUUCUUCCUCAUACCUGACGCACAUACUUUCUGCUCCCCGGCUCCUUCAGCUGUACCCACUCUUUGUUGAGUCUCCCACAAUUACCGUUGUUCCUGGCCCAGACUUCAAUCCGGCCUCCCACGUUAUUCCUGAUACCACACCUGACCCCCAUGACUGUAUCUCUCUGAUCCAUCUGACAUUCACCCCAUUUCCCCAAAUUUCCUUCUUUCCUCUUCCUCACCCUGAUCACGCUUGAUUUAUUGUUGGCGGUUCCACCAGGCCUAAUCACCACACACCAGCAAAGGCAGGUUAUGCUAUAGUACAAGCCACUAGCCUGCCUCUUAGAACCUCUCAUUUCCUUUCCAUCGUGGAAAUCGAUCCUCAAGGAAAUAACUUCUCAGUGUUCCAUCUGCUAUUCUAGUACUCCUCAGGGAUUAUUCAGGCCCCCUUCCUUCCCUACACACCAAGCUCAAGGAUUUGCCCCACCCAGGACUGGCAAAUUAGCUUUACUCAACAUGCCCUGAGUCAGAUAACUAAAAUACCUCUUAGUCUAGGUAGAUACUUUCACUGGAUAGGUAGAGGCCUUUCCUACAGGGUCUGAGAAGGCCACCGCAGUCAUUUCUUCCCUUCUGUCAGACAUAAUUCCUCAGUUUAGCCUUCCCACCUCAAUACAGUCUGAUAACAGACAAGCAUUUAUUAGUCAAAUCAGCCAAGCAGUUUUUCAGGCUCUUAGUAUUCAGUGAAACCUUUAUGUCCCUUAUGGUCCUCUGUCUUCAAGAAAAGUAGAAUGGACUAAAGGUCUUUUAAAAACACACUCAGCCACCAACUUAAAAAGGACUGGACAAUACUUUUACCACUUUCCCUUCUCAGAAUUCAGGCCUGUCCUCGGAAUGCUGCAGGGUACAGCGCAUUUGAGCUCCUGUAUAGACACUCCUUUUUAUUAGGCCCCAGUCUCAUUCCAGACACCAGACCAACUUACACUGUGCCGCAAAAAACUUGUCAUCCCUACUAUCUUCUGUCUAGUCAUACUCCUAUUCACCAUUCUCAACUACUCAUACAUGCCCUGCUCUUGUUUACACUGCCGGUUUACACUGUUUUUCCAUGCCAUCACAGCUGAUAUCUCCUGGUGCUAUCCCCAAACUGCCACUCUUAACUCUUGAAGUAAAUAAAUAAUCUUUGCUGGCAGGACUAUGCUGAAUCUCCUUAGGCACUCUCUAAUCAGAUAUCCUGAGUCGUCCCAAUUCUUAGACCUUUUAUACCUGUUUUUCUCCUUCCUUUAUUCCAUUUAGUUUCUCAAUUCAUCCAAAUCCAUAUCUAGGCCAUCACCAAUCAUUCUAUAUGACAAAUGUUUCUUCUAACAUCCCCACAAUAUCACCCCUUACCACAA
RNAcentral lists this long non-coding RNA (4830 nucleotides) under Homo sapiens (human). Its description in RNAcentral is "HSALNT0357891". Lineage: Eukaryota; Metazoa; Chordata; Mammalia; Primates; Hominidae. The record is from RNAcentral.